RNAcentral lists this ribosomal RNA (406 nucleotides) under uncultured bacterium. RNAcentral's name for it is "partial 16S ribosomal RNA". It matches the Rfam family "Bacterial small subunit ribosomal RNA", at positions 30 to 526 of the family's 1533-position model. The record is from RNAcentral.
AUUGAACGCUGGCGGCAGGCCUAACACAUGCAAGUCGAGCGGAGCGGCGGACGGGUGAGUAAUGCCUAGGAAUCUGCCUGGUAGUGGGGAUAACGUCCGGAAACGGGCGCUUAUACCGCCUACUUAUCGAAGAGGCCAGGUUGGAUUAGCGAGUUGGUGGGGUAAAGGCCUACCAAGGCGACGGACCGUAACUGGUCUGAGAGGAUGAUCAGUCACACUGGAACUGAGACACGGUCCAGACUCCUACGGGAGGCAGCAGUGGGGAAUAUUGGACAAUGGGCGAAAGCCUGAUCCAGCCAUGCCGCGUGUGUGAAGAAGGUCUUCGGAUUGUAAAGCACUUUAAGUUGGGAGGCGUUACCAACAGAAUAAGCACCGGCUAACUUCGUGCCAGCAGCCGCGGUAAUAC